UAUAUUAAAGUUGUUGCAGUUAAAAAGCUCGUAGUUGGAUUUCGGAAGGUCCUUAGUAAUCCGCCCCUUCGGGGAGCGGGUUGCUGGCCUCCUAUGUUCCUAACGGUCCUCAUCCGCGAGGGUGGGGAAUCAACCGCUAGGAUCGUUUACUUUGAGGAAAUUAGAGUGUUCAAAGCAGGCGUAACUCGCCUCCGAAUACGUUAGCAUGGGAUAAUGGAAUACGACUUCGGUCUUGUUUCGUUGGUUUCGCUUGGCUGAAGUAAUGAUUGAUAGGGACAGUUGGGGGCAUUAGUAUUUAGUUGUCAGAGGUGAAAUUCUAGGAUUUACUAAAGACUGACCAAUGCGAAAGCAUUUGCCAAGGAUGUUUUCAUUAAUCAAGAACGAAAGUAGGGGGAUCGAAGACGAUCAGAUACCGUCGUAGUCUCUACCGUAAACUAUGCCGACCAGGGAUCCGGAGAGUUUGCAUGGAUGACUCCCCGGGCACCUUGUGAGAAAUCAUAAGUGUUUGGGUUUUGGGGGGAGUAGGGUCGCAAGGCUGAAACUUAAAGGAAUUGACGGAAGGGCACCACCAGGAGUGGAACCUGCGGCUUAAUUCGACUCAAC
This 603-nucleotide ribosomal RNA is filed under the name Vermamoeba vermiformis. RNAcentral's name for it is "SSU rRNA". It matches the Rfam family "Eukaryotic small subunit ribosomal RNA", at positions 600 to 1204 of the family's 1831-position model. Lineage: Eukaryota; Tubulinea; Echinamoebida; Vermamoebidae. The record is from RNAcentral.